This 1169-nucleotide long non-coding RNA is filed under the name Heterocephalus glaber (naked mole-rat). RNAcentral's name for it is "lncRNA (ENSHGLG00000044511.1)". Lineage: Eukaryota; Metazoa; Chordata; Mammalia; Rodentia; Bathyergidae. The record is from RNAcentral.
CGAGAGGUGGCCUCGCCUCCCGUGGCGCUCGGCCGAGGUGGCCUCCGCGUUGCGCCACCGAACGAGCUUGGGAGGCGCCGCGAAGGCACCGCGGGUCCGGGCGCGGCCCGGAAAAGAAGCGAGAAGGGCAGGGGACGGGCGCCGCCGAAGGUCCCGAAGGUAGCCUGCUGAAGCCCAGCAGGGGGCUCGGACGUCGCCCCGCCCCGGAACAUGGACGCAGGCUUCCCGCACCACCUUGGGGCAGACCUCCGCGGCCACCCCGGCCCCAUGUCCACUACCAGAGCAAAGCCCACGACAGUGGCCAGCCUUGCCACUCCCGGGACAGAAGCAGUGCCCCUCGGCCAAUGGCUCGGAGGAGGUUAGGAGCGACCUGCAGAUACCUGAUGGCCUUUGGCAAUUGGGAACUUUAUGGAACCGGGAUCAAGACUCAGGACCCAGGGGGCAGGUCUGAAAUACGGCUGAUUGGGUUUGCUCUUAACAAACAUAUGAUCAUCUCACAGACAUAAUAUCUCAUCCUGUUUUGUUAUCGAAACAUCACCUACGAUUUUGAAGGUGGUUCUCUUCAAAGAAACAACCAGAGAGCUCAGAUGCUAAGGGGAGGAGCCUGUGGGGAGCUAAGUCCUGGAAAGCUGUGUGUGCCUGUGAUCCUGGCUACUCCAUAGGAUGAGGCAGGAAGAUCUGGAAAGUUCAAGGCCAGCUCAAGCACCUUAGCUGGAAGUUCCAGGAGUCCAUAGGAAAGACAAUGGAGACACAUUCACUGAAGGGUGCGAUUUAAAAAACUACGGUGAAUACUGCUGUCUAGGGUCAUCCAACAGGAAGGCAGGCUUGUAAAAAUGUGACGCUGUGUCCUCGUCCUCCUUAUUCACUGGAUCUGGCAUGGAGUGACUUCUGACUCUUCCCCAAAGUCAAAAUGGCCAUGCAAGAUCAACCUUUUGAAUCAAUUCAGGACAUCAAGGCAGCCAUGACUAUGAAACUAAAGACACACACGAAAGUUGACUUCCAGAACUGCUUUAGAAGAUGGCAAGGACAGUGAGGUGGAAACAAGCCAAAUGUCCACUGACAUACGAAUGGGGAAACAAAUAUUAUUCAGCCUUUAAAAAGAAGGAAAAUCUGACUCAUGCUGUAACAUGAAUGAACCUUGAAGACAUGCAGAGUGAAAUAAACCAGAC